This 198-nucleotide ribosomal RNA is filed under the name uncultured bacterium. Its description in RNAcentral is "partial 16S ribosomal RNA". It matches the Rfam family "Bacterial small subunit ribosomal RNA", at positions 326 to 539 of the family's 1533-position model. The record is from RNAcentral.
ACGCUCGACACCUACGGAAGGCAGCAGUGGGGAAUAUUGCACAAUGGGGGAAACCCUGAUGCAGCGACGCCGCGUGGAGGAAGAAGGUCUUCGGAUUGUAAACUCCUGUUGUUGGGGAAAAAGAGGAUGGUACCCAACAAGGAAGUGACGGCUAACUACGUGCCAGCAGCAGCGGUAAUCUGAGCGGGCUGGCAAGGC